GAUGAACGCUAGCGGCAGGCCUAAUACAUGCAAGUCGGACGGGAUUUGGGAGCUUGCUCCUAAUGAGAGUGGCGCACGGGUGCGUAACACGUAUGUAACCUACCUUAGUCAGGGGGAUAGCCUCUCGAAAGAGAGAUUAAGACCGCAUAACAUUAUUGAGUGGCAUCAUUUAAUAAUCAAAUAUUUAUAGGACUAAGAUGGGCAUGCGGAACAUUAGCUAGUUGGUAGGGUAACGGCCUACCAAGGCUACGAUGUUUAGGGGAUCUGAGAGGAUGGCCCCCCACACUGGUACUGAGAGACGGACCAGACUCCUACGGGAGGCAGCAGUAAGGAAUAUUGGUCAAUGGGCGGAAGCCUGAACCAGCCAUGCCGCGUGCAGGAAGACGGCCCUACGGGUUGUAAACUGCUUUUAUACGGGAAUAAACCUACUUACGUGUAAGUAGCUGAAUGUACUGUAAGAAUAAGGAUCGGCUAACUCCGUGCCAGCAGCCGCGGUAA
RNAcentral lists this ribosomal RNA (498 nucleotides) under uncultured bacterium. RNAcentral describes it as "partial 16S ribosomal RNA". It matches the Rfam family "Bacterial small subunit ribosomal RNA", at positions 28 to 523 of the family's 1533-position model. The record is from RNAcentral.